ACCGAAUUCAGACAAACUCCGAAUGCCAAUUAAUUUAACUUGGGAGUCAGAACAUGGGUGAUAAGGUCCGUGUUCGAAAGGGAAACAGCCCAGACCACCAGCUAAGGUCCCAAAAUAUAUGUUAAGUGGAAAAGGAUGUGGCGUUGCCCAGACAACUAGGAUGUUGGCUUAGAAGCAGCCAUCAUUUAAAGAGUGCGUAAUAGCUCACUAGUCGAGUGACACUGCGCCGAAAAUGUACCGGGGCUAAACAUAUUACCGAAGCUGUGGAUUGUCCUUUGGACAAUGGUAGGAGAGCGUUCUAAGGGCGUUGAAGCAUGAUCGUAAGGACAUGUGGAGCGCUUAGAAGUGAGAAUGCCGGUGUGAGUAGCGAAAGACGGGUGAGAAUCCCGUCCACCGAUUGACUAAGGUUUCCAGAGGAAGGCUCGUCCGCUCUGGGUUAGUCGGGUCCUAAGCUGAGGCCGACAGGCGUAGGCGAUGGAUAACAGGUUGAUAUUCCUGUACCACCUAUA
RNAcentral lists this ribosomal RNA (509 nucleotides) under Staphylococcus aureus. RNAcentral describes it as "partial 23S ribosomal RNA". It matches the Rfam family "Bacterial large subunit ribosomal RNA", at positions 938 to 1452 of the family's 2925-position model. Lineage: Bacteria; Bacillati; Bacillota; Bacilli; Caryophanales; Staphylococcaceae. The record is from RNAcentral.